GUUCUUGUAGCUCAGUGGAUAGAGCAACUGUUUCCUAAGCAUAAAAUUAUAGGUUUGACCCCCUAUCUGGCGCG
This 74-nucleotide transfer RNA is filed under the name Jatropha curcas. It matches the Rfam family "tRNA". From Rfam's summary of the family: Transfer RNA (tRNA) molecules are approximately 80 nucleotides in length. Their secondary structure includes four short double-helical elements and three loops (D, anti-codon, and T loops). Further hydrogen bonds mediate the characteristic L-shaped molecular structure. tRNAs have two regions of fundamental functional importance: the anti-codon, which is responsible for specific mRNA codon recognition, and the 3' end, to which the tRNAs corresponding amino acid is attached (by aminoacyl-tRNA synthetases). tRNAs cope with the degeneracy of the genetic code in two manners: having more than one tRNA (with a specific anti-codon) for a particular amino acid; and 'wobble' base-pairing, i.e. permitting non-standard base-pairing at the 3rd anti-codon position. The record is from Rfam by way of RNAcentral. Lineage: Eukaryota; Viridiplantae; Streptophyta; Magnoliopsida; Malpighiales; Euphorbiaceae.